UUAGUUGCCAGCACGUCAUGGUGGGAACUCUAAGGAGACUGCCUAUGUUAAGUAGGAGGAAGGUGGGGAUGACGUCAAGUCCUCAUGGCCCUUACGCCCGGGGCUGGAAACGUGCUACAAUGGCCGGUACAAAGGGCUGCAAUACCGUGAGGUGGAGCUAAUCCCAAAAAACCGGUCUCAGUUGGGAUUGGAGUCUGCAACUCGACUCCAUGAACGCGGAAUCGCUAGUAAUCGUGGAUCAGCAUGCCACGGUGAAUACGUUCCCGGGUCUUGUACACA
This 279-nucleotide ribosomal RNA is filed under the name uncultured bacterium. RNAcentral's name for it is "partial 16S ribosomal RNA". It matches the Rfam family "Bacterial small subunit ribosomal RNA", at positions 1111 to 1389 of the family's 1533-position model. The record is from RNAcentral.